GCAACAACACUGCUGUUGUUGAGAAGCCUCCAUCCAGUAUUGAGGCUUGGCCUUCGUCCACUGUACCUGGGU
Molecule: non-coding RNA, 72 nt
Filed under: Hemiselmis andersenii
Lineage: Eukaryota; Cryptophyceae; Cryptomonadales; Hemiselmidaceae
Source: RNAcentral